This is a non-coding RNA of Erinaceus europaeus (western European hedgehog), 131 nucleotides long. Lineage: Eukaryota; Metazoa; Chordata; Mammalia; Eulipotyphla; Erinaceidae. The record is from Rfam.
UGGGAGGCUGAUCCACAAGCUGGGCUGAAGUACUGCUCUGUUUGUCACUACACCUCCCUAGAACAAACUGCCCUUCGAUGAGCGGGACAAAUUGAGAGAAACUGUAACGGACAGAUACGGGGCAGACAGUU